Molecule: transfer RNA, 72 nt
Filed under: Camelus bactrianus (Bactrian camel)
Lineage: Eukaryota; Metazoa; Chordata; Mammalia; Artiodactyla; Camelidae
Also listed under: 2 other names
Rfam family: tRNA
About the family: Transfer RNA (tRNA) molecules are approximately 80 nucleotides in length. Their secondary structure includes four short double-helical elements and three loops (D, anti-codon, and T loops).
Source: Rfam by way of RNAcentral
GAAGGUGUAGCUUAGUGGUAGAGUGUAUGCUUAGCAUGCACUAGGCCCUGGGUUCAAUCCCCAGUACCUCCA